Long non-coding RNA from Gallus gallus (chicken), 4425 nucleotides. The record is from Ensembl. Lineage: Eukaryota; Metazoa; Chordata; Aves; Galliformes; Phasianidae.
CCGGCCCCGGCACCGCCCGCGCCGCGGGGCGAGGUGAGGUGAGCGCCCGCUCCUGCCAUGGCGGCGCUGCGGGACGUCUUUCGGCGGCCUUUCGGCGGCCCGCUCGCGGUGGGUCAGCAGUGGACAGGACCCAGUGACAGACAUAGAAGAGUUUGGUGCUUCUGACAACAGUGGAGCGUCGCUGAGGAUCCCAGAGCUGUGACUGCAGUUUUCCAAUUCGCAGGCUGUCUUGGCAGUAGAGGAAAUGUGAAGAAGAGCUAUGUGUCAUUUGAAUAGUGCUGUCAUCUUACCAAUUACUACUAUAGCUGCUGUACACAGGUGUUGCAAGGUCAUACCUUCACCCAUCCGAGGCAAAGACAUGAUGUUAUCUGCCUGAAAAUAUCUGUCUGGGCAAUCCUUCAACGAGACUUCUCCCACACAUCAAUCCAACUUUCUUUUUUCUCCUGUAACUUCUUGCUUCUUUCAUGUUGCACAAGAGGUUCCCUAAAACAUUAAUUUUUCCUCCUCCAGAUUCCUACACUUGAAUUGAAUAGAAUUUGGAGUGGUAUGAAGUGCCUCACACAGAGAAGAACCAGCAUUUUGAAGGACCUGCAGGUGCUGCUACCUGAAGGUUAGUUUAACAACUGAAAAUACUCUAUCGUGAAUGGCCUCAAUAUAUCAUUCAGGUGGUAUUCUUAAAAUUAUAUUUUAAUCUCAAUUAAAAUGUGAAUAUCAGUUAUUUAAUGCAACCUAAAGGAAGUUUGUUUUGUUGAAAAAAAAAAAAAAAUGAUGAUCAGCCAUAGUUCUGGCCUGUAAUAAGUUCAAGUGUAUGAUGGCUUCCUGUGCUCAGGCUCACCAGGAAGGGGAAUCAGGACAGCGCACGUUGGCAGGUGGGAGUGUAAAUCCGGGUAGGAGGAGAACUCGUGUCAGGAGUGUGUCAAAUCAAUCUCUUCCAAGCGGGAUCCUCAAAAACCUAAAGGUUCAAAUUUGAAGUGUAUUCCACUCUGUGGAAAAAAAUAAUAAAUGAGAGCAUCAAUAUCUGCACUCUUCAGCUUUAAGCCUCCCAGGGGUACAGGCAAUCAGGCUGAUAAGUUGUAAUUUCACACCCUUUGCACCAGCUGCACUUAACUCAUCUGAUUUUUACCUAUGUCACCAGUAGCACCGCAGGGAAUUAGAAUGAGAGAACUAUUAAAAGCCUAAUGUAUUUUUUUGUAUGUAGGUUGUUUGCAUUUCUAAUGCCUAUUUUGAAGCCUUGUGUGAAGUCGAAAGUGGAGGUGAUAAUUCAUUAGCAAGCAAAAUCUAGAAGUAAGGUAUUAUGAAAAAAAAACCUUUUAUGGAGGGAAGACGGAGAACUUAAUGCUCAAGGUAAACAGUUUCAAUUAGGAAGUUCUUUGAAGUAUGAUGAGAGCAGUCCAAAAAGAAUCAUACAGACUGCCAAAAUAAAGACCGAAAAACAUUGAAAUUUAUGGAGCUUUUAAGGGCCAUUAACUUGAAGGCCGUUGCCUUUCUUUUUUCUUUCCCCCAUUCUAUUUUAAGAAAUGAAAAGGUGUUUAUUUUUCCCUUGGUCAAUUAGUCUGCAAUAGGAGAAAGGUAGAGAGACAUAUUUUGUAGAUGCUCUGAGAAUUUUAGGCAGAGAAAACUCUUCUUCUGACUGAGUUUCUCUCUUAAAAAAAUAAAGUAUAUUAAGAGCUGUAAACAGUCAGGAAUUGUGCUAUACGGAGUAAUUUUAGGUUAGGAAUAUAUGUGUCUAGAAUGUUAGGUAAAACUUUAAUCACUGAAUUUGUGGGGUAACUGUGGAAUACAUUUAUACCUUUUGCUUCUCUGUUAGAAGUUUGGAAGUUAGAUGUCCUGUUGAUGGAAGCUGUUUAGAAGUUAGAUGCCUGAAGCUUGGCAGCACUGCACACAAAACAGGAUGUUGCUGCCCACAGGUCCAGUGUCUCUAUCUUUGAGUGGCAGCAUUUGAUUUUUGCAGGGACAGUAAAGAGCAAGUGUUGCAGGGACUUGGUGUCUGAGCUGGGGGGAUAAUUACAUAUUUCUGCCCCCACCCAUAAUUAUCUCAGGAGGCAUUUCACCUCCAGGGUUUGGAAGACCUUUCUGUGUACUUGCGCUAGCACAGUGUGGAUGGGAAGAGGAAAACAACCAAGGCAGCCUGCACACAGAGCCUGAAUUAUUACCUGCCAGUGGGGCCAGCAGCUCUCACUGCUCUCCCAAGGCUGCAGAGCAGCAGGGAUGCUGCAUGGUGCUGGGUGGGACCACCUCCUGCAGCACGGCUGCUGCCUCACAUGGAGGGGGUAGGGGGGGGCGAAGCAGGACACUGCAAAGAUGGAGGGAGAAAAUGAGCUGUGCUGCUGCUGUGUGUGUGCCUGCCAGCCCUGGCCAUGCCUGCUGUCACACUUGGUUUUCCGUAAAAUUUGAUUGUUUUUGAUCACCGUUAUUGGUGUGAAAUGUUGUACCCUAAUAAGCUACCAGCAAAAUGCCUGUUGUCCUUAGCCCAACUGGAUCUAGCCAUUUAAAAUGCUUUAGAAGUCACAGCAUAAAUAUCAAAUGUUGAUAGACGCAAAGAAAUAAACUCUGGCAAUACCUGUGGUAUGCCUUCAACCAUAGUGGUGAAUAACAUUAAAAUCUCACUGCCCAGCACUCGUACCAAAAAUCAGGAUGCCUGUGUUUGGCUCACUUGUAGGCUGUGGCAACAUCAUAGUGUUCCCUCUUCAUGUGCCUAAUUCUUCACAUAGUUUGAGGACAAUAUGAACCAGAAUACAUGCAGUCCUUCACCUGUCUAUCACUACCUUCUUUCCUGCUCUCGGGAGAUACUGUUGAUCCUUCUUUCUCUUACAGAUUUGUCCAAACUUGUUAGCACUGGCAAAAGUAAUCUCCAUUUCCUCCUGGCUACUUGACAAAAGGAGGACAACAAACUUCUCUCUGCUGACUAGGAAUACAGUAAACAUUCAUGAUUUCAAGUAUGGUGAUAAGAGCGUAUUGCACCACAGUGCCAUCUCAUAGCAGUUUGUUCAGCUGAGCAUUCACUGGGCCAGCACAUCACCACUGUCAGCAUGCAAAUAAGCUCUCCCAUGCAGCUGAGAAUGAAGGCCAGAAGCCUGAAAAUAACCCAGCAAAGCAUGCCUGUUGUAAGGAAUGAGAGGUACUUGCCAACUUUUAAUCACUGGGCUUAGUGACUGGCAUGACAACAUUUUUCUGAUGGGGAAAUUAUUUACAGGCAGUUGGAAGGUCAGGAGGCUGUCUGAAACACUCAAUGGCAAAAUUAGAGUUAGCCUUUCAGUCAACCAUGUUGCUCAGGUACCUGCUUGGUGUUCCAGUGUUAACGUGCAGUACAUUCGAAGUGCAGCCACCUUCACUGUAUGUUUCAGUGUACAAAAUUACCUUCUAAUUAAGAAAUAAGUGCAGUGGUGGGGAGGAUUCCACUUUGAGUCUCAGCUUGGCUGUGAGACUCAGUGCAAGCCGUGUAGUGGGCUGUUAGAGUGGCUUGCUUGAUUCUGUUUCUUGUGUCAAACGUUUGUCAGUGGUGAUGAUGAAUAGUAGGGAAAAAUACUGAAUAAGCCCUAAGUGAUUAAUUAGAAUAUUAGUUUAGUAUUUCUGCUGCCAGACAGUCAUGCAGUCCCUGGCAUUACUGCAUAAGGUUUAAAAUGUUGAGAGAGGAAGAGGAAUUUCAAAUAUGUUUAUUCUUAUCCAGAUAAUCUCUGAAUUUAAACUCAAUAAAGCUUUUCACCAGAGUGAGAUGUUAACUAGCCAAUACUUUAUUCACACUUCAGUUAAACAACGUUUACCUCUGGUGAAAGGCACCCAAACUGUGCUACUCUGUGCUACCCUGUUUCUGUGGAAACUGUGUGUUGGAGUGGAAUAGGAAUAAUGGUGGAGAAAAGGAGAGCAGUAGCGUUUUGGCUGAAGUCCUGUUGGCCAGCCCCCGUUUCAGCUGGGAUAAGUCAGCCAAGCAAGGCCUCAGUGCUGGAGCCCCGACAGUUCUUUUUCCUCCUCCUCCUAACUUGUGCCGAGGGAGGAGUCUGCUUCACAGACACCAUUCAAAAAGUGCUUGCUAAAGCAAUUUAUCUGUAUUUUCCCCUGGUUUUUCAUGCAACAAGAAUUUUAGCCAGUCAGUAAUGUUAGUCAAUAGCUGCCUACACUGGUAGGGUAAGGUUUGUUCUGAAAAGAACUUCCAUUGACGCGUAUGUUGCUCAGCCACUGCUCUUCUAAAAAGCACCACUGUAUUCUUGGAAAGAAACUCUCCCAAAACUGAAAAGACACAUUUUUCAUCAUUCAGGGGUUUCCAAAAUAUGCAUAUGUUUGAUGGAUUGCCAGGAAAGACAGACAGCCUUGACCAGUAAACUCAGCUCUGUAUUCUCUCUUCUCUGGUAGCUGUUUCACUGACAUUCAUGUUGUUUUCUCCUGGAAUAAGGUAUCUUUCUUAAAAAUAAAAUAUGAAUUAACAGAAAA